GGGUGAGUAACACGUAUCCAACCUGCCGUCUACUCUUGGACAGCCUUCUGAAAGGAAGAUUAAUACAAGAUGGCAUCAUGAGUCCGCAUGUUCACAUGAUUAAAGGUAUUCCGGUAGACGAUGGGGAUGCGUUCCAUUAGAUAGUAGGCGGGGUAACGGCCCACCUAGUCUUCGAUGGAUAGGGGUUCUGAGAGGAAGGUCCCCCACAUUGGAACUGAGACACGGUCCAAACUCCUACGGGAGGCAGCAGUGAGGAAUAUUGGUCAAUGGGCGAGAGCCUGAACCAGCC
This 289-nucleotide ribosomal RNA is filed under the name uncultured bacterium. RNAcentral describes it as "partial 16S ribosomal RNA". It matches the Rfam family "Bacterial small subunit ribosomal RNA", at positions 104 to 392 of the family's 1533-position model. The record is from RNAcentral.